Molecule: long non-coding RNA, 1475 nt
Organism: Cebus imitator (Panamanian white-faced capuchin)
Lineage: Eukaryota; Metazoa; Chordata; Mammalia; Primates; Cebidae
Exons: 2
Source: RefSeq, a predicted model, not a curated record
GCCAGAUGACUAAAGCAGGAGAGAAAAAGGGCAGGAACUCUUGCAAUCCCUAACCGGCCCCCACUGCUUCGCUGAUUGUGGCUACUUUGAGCUCCCACAUGCCUGUCAUUUGAAAUGAAGGUUCAUGAACACAAAACACAAUGUUGGAAGGUGAAGGCAAGCCAUUCUCCAUGUUUUCUGAGCAUAGUGGUCUUAAAUUGUAUGUACACAGAGGAGGAGAAUUUAGAUUAAAUGUGAAAACAUAACUAGAAGCAGCCAAGAUGUAUGCAUUGUUGACCAGUUUAUGUGUCUUCAUGCAGCAGUCCCCAACUUUGUUGGCACCAGGAACCAGUUUCAGGGAAGACAAUGGAAACAUGGAAACAGGGAAGGCAGGUGGGCAGGGGCAGGGGUGAUGGUUUCAGGAUGAUUCAAGUGUAUUACAUUUAUUGUGCACUUUAUUUCUAUUAUUAAUACACUGUAAUAGAUAAUAAAAUAAUUAUACAACUCACCAUAAUGUAGAAUCAGGGAGAGCCCUGAGCUUGUUCUCCUGCAACUAGAGGGUCACAUCUGGGGGUGAUGGGAGACAGUGACAGAUCAUCAGGCAUUAGAUUCUCAUAAGGAGCAUGCAGCCUAGAUCCUUUGCAUGCACAGUUCACAAUAGGGUUUGCGCUCCUAUGAGAAGCUAAUGCUGCCACUUGUCUGACAGGAGGAGAAGCUCAGAUGGUAAUACCAAUGAAGGGGAGUGGCCAUAACUGCAGAUGAAUCUUUGCUGGCUCCCCACUGCACACCCCCUGCUGUGCAGCCUGGCUCCUAACAGACCACAGACUGCUACCGUCUUUAUAAAUAUUUUUCUGAAAAUAGGGCCCAGUGCUUCCAUCAGAUUUUUCAGCAUCUCAAAAAUAUAAGGUAUCAUUGUCUUAAAGAGAGAUGUGUUAACCGUCAAGAUAGAUUAGAGAGCAAAUCUCUUUCCUGACAGAUUUUUAAGAAUAAGUCAUUCAAUGGUCUACAUAUUAGAUAAAAGUUAUUCUAGCAAUGUUAAAUUCCUUUUUUUUCUAAUCAGCUGACUUUAAGAAAAUGUCAUUUUUUUUUGGUACGAUCGUAAUAUUGUGGUUAUGUAAGAGAACAUUUUUAUCCAUAGGAUACUCAUGUGGAAAUAUUUAGGAUAUACUGUUAUGAUAUUUUAAUUUUACUCUCAACAUUCCAGCAAAUAAGUAUAUGUAGGUAUAUCAGUAUAGAGAGACUGAGAUAAAGCAAAUGUUAGGAAAUGUGGCAAAAUACUAACAAUUGAUGAAUCUAGGAGAGGGCAGGUGGGUAUUGAUUGUGCCAUUUUAACUUUCUUGUGGUUUUUAAAAAUUCUUUAAAAGAAUGUUUAAUUCUUUUAUUCUUUGUUAACAAAGGAAUAAGACAGUUCAUUUAUCUGUCUUUUUAUGCAUGCUCUCCCCCAUUUAUCUGCCUUAACUUCAUAAUUAUAAAUAAAGAAGGCAGUUCUACUAUCA